GUGUCAGCCGCCGCGGUAAGACGUAGGAUCCAAGCGUUAUCCGGAAUUACUGGGCGUAAAGGGCGUGUAGGAGGUUGGGCAAGUCGGCCAUGAAAGCUCCCGGCUCAACUGGGAGAGGCUGGUCGAUACUGCCUGGCUAGAGGGCAAGAGAGGGAGGUGGAAUUCCCGGUGUAGUGGUGAAAUGCGUAGAUAUCGGGAGGAACACCAGUGGCGAAGGCGGCCUCCUGGCUUGUACCUGACUCUGAAACGCGAAAGCAUGGGUAGCAAACAGGAUUAGAAACCCUGGUAGUCCAUGCCAUAAACGAUGUCAACUGGGUGUCGGCGAAGUAAAAUUUGUCGGUGCCGAAGCUAACGCGUUAAGUUGACCGCCUGAGGACUACGAUCGCAAGAUUAAAACUUAAAGGAAUUGACGGGG
Molecule: ribosomal RNA, 415 nt
Filed under: uncultured prokaryote
Description: bacterial SSU rRNA
Rfam family: Bacterial small subunit ribosomal RNA
Source: RNAcentral